AAACAAGUUGACUUAAGUUCACAUUCGGACACCAUAAAAGUGAUACAGUAACAUCAAAAUAAUGCAUUUUCAACUUCUAACCAAUAAAAAAAAAUCAAUAUGUUUGUUCACAAAUUGAGAAAUAUAAGUUUCACAGCUGAGACCUGUGCCUAACCUUCAAUGUCAGGAACUUGUGGUUUUGUAAACUGAAAGAGAAAGAGCAGGAAGUGCAGGAACUAGCAAGAAGUGUUGCUACAAAGUCUUCUUUAGUCACUCAUGAGAAAACAAGGUGCGGUAAACUGACUGAUAAAAACGUACGUCCUCAGGAAUGUGCGGGAUUGAAAGAGAUAGGUUUGAAUAAGACAGAGGGAGGGACUGUUGAAAAAACGUGGAGGUGUGUUUCAUUGUGUCAUUUCAGUCUGCCAGCUAGUUUUCCUCACCCACAUUUUGCUCACACUUCUCAAACAACUGGACUCGAGCUCAUAAACUGUUUCAACAUUUAGUAAAUAUAUUUAACAAAAAGAGGAAGUUUUGAUGGGAAGUUUGUAAUCUGGUUGUGACUGGCACUUCCUUCAUUGAACUUAGUCUUUAUAUAAACUGAAUGAAGCAGUAGGAGCUUGAAAGGCAAGAAUCAACAGAGAUUUUUCGGAGCAGAAACAUCCAAACUUGGUUAUAACAUAACUGGAUCACUGUCUCAUCUGGGGAAUUCCACACUGUUCUUCUCAUAAAUCAAGUCCGGGCGAGUCUAGAUGUCUGAUCCGGCUAGUAAUAAUCAACUAUCACAAGGAAAGGUUAGUGAUGCUUUCCUUGAAGAGCAUUCUGAGGUGGACUUGCACAGUGUCAUCUGCUGUAAAGGACAACAUAACAUUUGCAGAGACCCAGACCAUCGGAGAUUAGCCAUAUGCAGCAUCAUAUGUGGACUCUCAUGCAUCGGAAUUGUGUCCCUUAUCUACUCUGUCAAGUCUAGAGAGACAAGAAAAACACUUCAAACACACGAGAAUCUGAAAGUUAAAGAAUACUCAAGAAAAGCUGUAAAAUGGGGAAUAGCAUCCAUUGCAGCAUGGGUGUUUUUAAUUUUGAUCUUUAUCCUUUUUCUGGGGUUACUGUCAUAUAUUUUGACCUUCAUAGACUAAGACAGCAAACCUUUGCACCAGAUAUCAUUAACCGAGCAACCAGAGGAAACAAACAGAGCUGAAAUCUGCCAUGGAUUAUCACUCACACUGGACAAACUGGAAUUAGUCCACAAACCUUUUAAGCUGUUCAUUAAUAUUCAAUGUGUGUGCAAUUAUAUACUGCUUGUUAUACGGUUGUAUCAAAGUAUUCUGAAUGUCAAAAACCUGAAGAAUUUGCACGAAUAACAAAGUAAUUUGAAUUCCCUAUAAUGUCCUCAAGUGCAUCAAUGGACUAACAAACCACUCGCAGAGCACAGACCAACUCUGUUAAAGUAUUAUAAUGAACCUUCAGUGAACUGUUUUUAUUUUUGUUCUUAAUCCAAUAUUGCAACAAAACAUUGAGACACUCACAGAGAGCACCAAACUUUUGAAAAACAUCUAUUACAUGUUGGGAUAUGAAACUGGUUACAUUAUUUUCUACUUGUAAAUAUUUUGUAUGUUUUAAUAUAUUGUGCUUUUUUAAAUGUUUUAUAUUUCAUUUCUUCCAGGGCUUGUAAUAAAAAUGUAUAUUAGUCAAAAUGCA
Long non-coding RNA from Triplophysa dalaica, 1674 nucleotides. RefSeq lists it as uncharacterized. The transcript has 3 exons. The record is from RefSeq and is a predicted model, not a curated record. Lineage: Eukaryota; Metazoa; Chordata; Actinopteri; Cypriniformes; Nemacheilidae.